CCUACGGGAGGCAGCAGUGGGGGAUAUUGGACAAUGGGGGGAACCCUGAUCCAGCGACGCCGCGUGAGUGAAGAAGUAUUUCGGUAUGUAAAGCUCUGUCAGCAGGGAAGAAAGAAAUGACGGUACCUGACCAAGAAGCCCCGGCUAACUACGUGCCAGCAGCCGCGGUAAUACGUAGGGGGCAAGCGUUAUCCGGAAUUACGGGGUGUAAAGGGGGCGUAGACGGUUAAGUAAGUCUGGAGUGAAAGGCCGGGGCCCAACCCCGGGACUGCUCUGGAAACUAUUGAACUUGAGUGCAGGAGAGGUAAGCGGAAUUCCUAGUGUAGCGGUGAAAUGCGUAGAUAUUAGGAGGAACACCAGUGGCGAAGGCGGCUUACUGGACUGUAACUGACGUUGAGGCACGAAAGCGUGGGGAGCAAACAGGAUUAGAUACCCUAGUAGUC
This 443-nucleotide ribosomal RNA is filed under the name uncultured bacterium. Its description in RNAcentral is "partial 16S ribosomal RNA". It matches the Rfam family "Bacterial small subunit ribosomal RNA", at positions 338 to 795 of the family's 1533-position model. The record is from RNAcentral.